This 405-nucleotide ribosomal RNA is filed under the name uncultured bacterium. RNAcentral describes it as "bacterial SSU rRNA". It matches the Rfam family "Bacterial small subunit ribosomal RNA", at positions 355 to 774 of the family's 1533-position model. The record is from RNAcentral.
UGGGGAAUAUUGCGCAAUGGGGGCAACCCUGACGCAGCAACGCCGCGUGAUUGAAGAAGGUCUUCGGAUUGUAAAAAUCUUUAAUCAGGGACGAAGAAAAUGACGGUACCUGAAGAAUAAGCUCCGGCUAACUACGUGCCAGCAGCCGCGGUAAUACGUAGGGAGCAAGCGUUAUCCGGAUUUACUGGGUGUAAAGGGCGUGUAGGCGGGCUUGUAAGUUGGAAGUGAAAUCUCGGGGCUUAACCCCGAAACUGCUUUCAAAACUGCGAGUCUUGAGUGAUGGAGAGGCAGGCGGAAUUCCCAGUGUAGCGGUGAAAUGCGUAGAUAUUGGGAGGAACACCAGUGGCGAAGGCGGCCUGCUGGACAUUAACUGACGCUGAGGCGCGAAAGCGUGGGGAGCAAACA